GACGAACGCUGGCGGCGUGCCUAAUACAUGCAAGUAGAACGCAGUUGCGAACGGGGGAGUAACGCGUAGGUAAAUGCCUCAUAGCGGGGGAUAAAUAUUGGAAACGAGAGCUAAAACCGCAUACUGUGAGACGGACCUGCGUUGUAUUAGGUAGUUGGUGGGGUAAAGGCUCACCAAGGCGACGAUACAUAGCCGACCUGAGAGGGUGAUCGGCCACACUGGGACUGGGGAACCGCCCAAACCCCUUCGGGAGGCAGCAGUAGGGAAUCUUCGGCCAUUGACGGAAGUCUGGCCGAGCAACGCCCGGUGGGUGAAGAAGGUUCUCGGAGCGUAAAGCUCUGUUGUUAGAGAAGCGGUAACUACCCAGAAAGCGCCGGCUAACUACGUGCCAGCCGCCGCGGUAAUUC
RNAcentral lists this ribosomal RNA (407 nucleotides) under uncultured bacterium. RNAcentral's name for it is "partial 16S ribosomal RNA". It matches the Rfam family "Bacterial small subunit ribosomal RNA", at positions 28 to 526 of the family's 1533-position model. The record is from RNAcentral.